CCUACGGGCGGCAGCAGUGAGGAAUAUUGGUCAAUGGACGAGAGUCUGAACCAGCCAAGUAGCGUGAAGGAUGACUGCCCUAUGGGUUGUAAACUUCUUUUAUAUGGGAAUAAAAUGUUCCACGUGUGGGAUUUUGUAUGUACCAUAUGAAUAAGGAUCGGCUAACUCCGUGCCAGCAGCCGCGGUAAUACGGAGGAUCCGAGCGUUAUCCGGAUUUAUUGGGUUUAAAGGGAGCGUAGGUGGAUUGUUAAGUCAGUUGUGAAAGUUUGCGGCUCAACCGUAAAAUUGCAGUUGAAACUGGCAGUCUUGAGUACAGUAGAGGUGGGCGGAAUUCGUGGUGUAGCGGUGAAAUGCUUAGAUAGCACGAAGAACUCCGAUUGCGAAGGCAGUUCACUGGACUGCAACUGACACUGAGGCUCGAAAGUGUGGGUAUCAAACAGGAUUAGAUACCCCUGUAGUC
Molecule: ribosomal RNA, 460 nt
Filed under: uncultured bacterium
Lineage: Bacteria
Description: partial 16S ribosomal RNA
Rfam family: Bacterial small subunit ribosomal RNA
Source: RNAcentral